AAACAUGAAUUGUGGUUUGAAUUUUUACCAUUGCCUUAGAAAGCUUGAGACCAUUUACAUUGCAAUUUUGGUUGUAUUGAAGUUGGGGAGAAAAGUGUUGGUUGCUAAGAGGUUGAGAAAGAAAAAGAAAAAGGAAAAAAUGAAGAAAAGAAAAAUGAAAAAGAAAAGAAAAAGAAAAAAAGCCUUGAAAAAACCAACAAAAAAAUAGCAAAAAUGUUUUGUGCUAAUAAGUUGUGUGAAAAGGUGUAACAUUUGAGCAAUAAGAAAAAGGUAAAAAAAAGUUG
This 284-nucleotide long non-coding RNA is filed under the name Lathyrus oleraceus (garden pea). Its description in RNAcentral is "Pisum sativum (pea) long non-coding RNA (PSAT_LNC003963)". The record is from RNAcentral. Lineage: Eukaryota; Viridiplantae; Streptophyta; Magnoliopsida; Fabales; Fabaceae.